ACGCUAGCGGCAGGCCUAACACAUGCAAGUCGAGGGAGAAGCCUUCGGGCUGAAACCGGCGUACGGGUGCGUAACGCGUAUACAAUCUGCCUUUCACAUAGGGAUAGCCCGAAGAAAUUUGGAUUAAUACCUAAUGGUAUAUAGGAGCGGCAUCGUUUUUAUAUUAAAGCUACGGUGGUGAAAGAUGAGUAUGCGUUCUAUUAGCUAGUUGGAGAGGUAACGGCUCCCCAAGGCGACGAUAGAUAGGGGUUCUGAGAGGGAUGUCCCCCACACUGGUACUGAGAUACGGACCAGACUCCUACGGGAGGCAGCAGUGAGGAAUAUUGGACAAUGGUCGGAAGACUGAUCCAGCCAUGCCGCGUGCAGGAUGAAGGUCCUAUGGAUUGUAAACUGCUUUUGUAAGGGAAGAAUAAGGGGUACGUGUACUUUGAUGACGGUACCUUACGAAUAAGCAUCGGCUAACUCCGUGCCAGCAGCCGCGGUAAUACGGAGGAUGCGAGCGUUAUCCGGAAUCAUUGGGUUUAAAGGGUCCGUAGGCGGGCUAAUAAGUCAGAGGUGAAAGCGUUCAGCUCAACUGGGCAACUGCCUUUGAAACUGUUAGUCUUGAAUGAUUGUGAAGUAGUUGGAAUGUGUAGUGUAGCGGUGAAAUGCUUAGAUAUUACACAGAACACCGAUAGCGAAGGCAUAUUACUAACAAUUUAUUGACGCUGAUGGACGAAAGCGUGGGGAGCGAACAGGAUUAGAUACCCUGGUAGUCCACGCUGUAAACGAUGGAUACUAGCUGUUUGGAGCAAUCUGAGUGGCUAAGCGAAAGUGAUAAGUAUCCCACCUGGGAGUACGC
RNAcentral lists this ribosomal RNA (841 nucleotides) under uncultured Bacteroidota bacterium. RNAcentral's name for it is "bacterial SSU rRNA". It matches the Rfam family "Bacterial small subunit ribosomal RNA", at positions 33 to 885 of the family's 1533-position model. The record is from RNAcentral. Lineage: Bacteria; Pseudomonadati; Bacteroidota.